RNAcentral lists this ribosomal RNA (495 nucleotides) under uncultured bacterium. RNAcentral describes it as "partial 16S ribosomal RNA". It matches the Rfam family "Bacterial small subunit ribosomal RNA", at positions 28 to 507 of the family's 1533-position model. The record is from RNAcentral.
GACGAACGCUGGCGGCGUGCCUAAUACAUGCAAGUAGAACGCUGAAGGAGGAGCUUGCUUCUCUGGAUGAGUUGCGAACGGGUGAGUAACGCGUGGGUAACCUGCCUGGUAGCGGGGGAUAACUAUUGGAAACGAUAGCUAAUACCGCAUAACAGUAGAUAUCGCAUGAUAUCUACUUGAAAGGUGCAAUUGCAUCACUACCAGAUGGACCUGCGUUGUAUUAGCUAGUUGGUGAGGUAACGGCUCACCAAGGCGACGAUACAUAGCCGACCUGAGAGGGUGAUCGGCCACACUGGGACUGAGACACGGCCCAGACUCCUACGGGAGGCAGCAGUAGGGAAUCUUCGGCAAUGGACGGAAGUCUGACCGAGCAACGCCGCGUGAGUGAAGAAGGUUUUCGGAUCGUAAAGCUCUGUUGUAAGAGAAGAACGAGUGUGAGAGUGGAAAGUUCACACUGUGACGGUAUCUUACCAGAAAGGGACGGCUAACUACGUG